Molecule: ribosomal RNA, 755 nt
Filed under: Salmonella enterica subsp. enterica serovar Jodhpur
Lineage: Bacteria; Pseudomonadati; Pseudomonadota; Gammaproteobacteria; Enterobacterales; Enterobacteriaceae
Description: partial 23S ribosomal RNA
Rfam family: Bacterial large subunit ribosomal RNA
Source: RNAcentral
GGGUUGUGAGGUUAAGCGACUAAGCGUACACGGUGGAUGCCCUGGCAGUCAGAGGCGAUGAAGGGCGUGCUAAUCUGCGAUAAGCGCCGGUAAGGUGAUAUGAACCGUUAUAACCGGCGAUACCCGAAUGGGGAAACCCAGUGUGAUUCGUCACACUAUCAUUAACUGAAUCCAUAGGUUAAUGAGGCGAACCGGGGGAACUGAAACAUCUAAGUACCCCGAGGAAAAGAAAUCAACCGAGAUUCCCCCAGUAGCGGCGAGCGAACGGGGAGGAGCCCAGAGCCUGAAUCAGCAUGUGUGUUAGUGGAAGCGUCUGGAAAGGCGCGCGAUACAGGGUGACAGCCCCGUACACAAAAGCGCAUGUGCUGUGAGCUCGAUGAGUAGGGCGGGACACGUGGUAUCCUGUCUGAAUAUGGGGGGACCAUCCUCCAAGGCUAAAUACUCCUGACUGACCGAUAGUGAACCAGUACCGUGAGGGAAAGGCGAAAAGAACCCCGGCGAGGGGAGUGAAAAAGAACCUGAAACCGUGUACGUACAAGCAGUGGGAGCCCCACCACUAAGCCAGUGGUGAACUCCACAUACGCAUCCUUUGCUGAGGAUACGGUUAACGGAGCGAAAGCGACGUUCAACCGAAAAAGAAGCAGAGGGGGCUUAGUGGUGGGGUGACUGCGUACCUUUUGUAUAAUGGGUCAGCGACUUAUAUUCUGUAGCAAGGUUAACCGUAUAGGGGAGCCGUAGGGAAACCGAGUCUUAAC